RNAcentral lists this ribosomal RNA (2787 nucleotides) under Triticum aestivum (bread wheat). Its description in RNAcentral is "partial small subunit ribosomal RNA". The record is from RNAcentral. Lineage: Eukaryota; Viridiplantae; Streptophyta; Magnoliopsida; Poales; Poaceae.
AUGGGGAAGAGGAAGGCCAAGAAACCCGCCGCGAGGCCCCGCAGCGGCGCGGGUGGGAGCGUGCCGCGGCCGGUGAGCGAGGGCGAGACCGAGACCGAGCCCGAGCCCGUCGGCGAGGAGGGCGACUUCUGCUUCGUCUGCAAGGACGGCGGCCACCUCCGCCUCUGCGACUACAGGAACUGCAACAAGGCUUACCAUCCUAAGUGCGUGGAAAAGGAUGACGAUUUCCUCAAUUCAGACGAGAACUUCAUCUGCGGUUGGCACACAUGCUGUAUCUGCAAAGGGCGUUCAUACUAUCGGUGCCUGUGCUGUCCGGUUAAAUCGGUUUGUUGUGGUUGCCGGAUAGAAGCAGAUUUUGUCCAAGUCGGAAGAAGGCAAACAAAGGGAUUAUGCGCUAACUGUCUAAGGCUGGGAAUCAUGAUUGAGAAUAAUAUCGAAAUCGACUCUGAUGGGGAGAGGGUUGAUUUCAGUGACAGGUCAACUGUUGAAUUUUUGUUUAAGGAAUACUGGGAGAUAAUUAUAAAGAAAGAGGGCUUAACACUGGAUAACCUUCAAGAAGCUUAUGCUAGUUUAAAUGAUGGCCCGGAUCAAAUUUCAGAUUCUGAGAAUUUUCCUAAAGUACAGGACAGCUCAGAUGAUGAUUUCUUGGGCAAUAGUGAUGGUGGAGAUGCUGAUCCAAUUUGCCCAUCUAAUUUAAAUGGAACAUCAAAUAAAGUGAAACCCUUUCUGAAGCAUGCAAAAUCAAAGAAGAAUGUCUAUGUUGGCUGGGGUUCAAAAGAGCUGAUUGGAUUCCUUGAAUCAAUAGGCAAAGAUACAUCCAAAUCUCUAGAUCAAUUUGGUGCUGCUGAAGUUGUCAAGGAGUACAUUCGACAGAAGGAUCUUUCGCACAAAGAUAAGAAAAAGCAUGUCAUAUGUGAUGAGAAACUCAAGCAAUUGUUUAGGAAAUCAAAGGUUAAGUACAACAAGAUAUAUAGCUUGCUCGAGAGGCAUAUUGCUGCAAAUGACACAUCUGAGGAUGAAACAUUUGCCAGUUCUGAGGAUAACAGUGAUUCAUGUAUGAAAAAGAGAACUCGGACCAUGACCUCUGAGGUCACUACUUCGAAAGGGACUUCUGAAAGAAACAAGAGAUGCUUUGCUUCUCUUGUUUGUGACAACAUUAAGUUGAUCUAUUUGAAGAAAUCCUUAGUUAUUGAUCUGCUAAAGCAGCCUGAGGCAUUUGAAAAUAAAGUUAUUGGUUGUUUUGUUAGAGUAAAGAAUGACCCCAAAGACUAUAGUUACUACAAGCCUAAAGCAUUCUACCAGCUUGGACAAGUAACUGGCAUUAGGAAAUCCUCAGAAGAAUACAAGGUAAAGGACAUGUCUACAGAUAUGCUUUUGUGUGUUUCCAGCUGCUGGUCUGAAGUCAAAAUUUCCAGGUUAUCAGAUGAAGAUUUUGGGGAGGACGAAUGCGAAGAUUUUCGUCUGUUCGUCCAGAAAGAACACUCUAAAAGGCUCACUGUUGCUGAGCUUGAGGAAAAAGCGAGAAGUGUACACAGAGAUAUAGUCACUCAUUGGAUCGAUAAAGAACUUAAGAGACUGGACAAUUUAAUUGAAUUGGCCAAUGAAAAAGGUUGGCGCUACGAGAAGCUCGAGUACAUCGAUAAGAGACAGCUAUUGCGCUCGCCAUCCGAAAGACAACGUCUUCUUGAAGAGGUCCCUCGAGUUAUUCCAGAUCUGGAAGAUAAUAAAGACACAGAAUUAUUAGUCGCAGCAUCAGAGAAGUCUUUUCAGAAGAAUACAGCUACUUUACAAGGUGCCAGUGGGGACAGAGCUGUUUGCUCGGAAAGAUACUCAGAAGAAUCUAAAGGCGCCAAUGGGGAGAAAGCUGUUCGUUUGACACGUUGCUCAAAAGAAAAGCCUAGAGGGGCCAAUGCGAGAGCUGUUUGCUUGAGAAGUUGCUCAGACGGCAAAUAUAAAGGUGCCAAUGAGGAGAUAGCUGUUUGCUUGAGAAGUUGGCCGGAAAACAAAUAUGAAGGUGCCAAUGACAAGAGAGCUGUUUGCUUGAAAAGUUACUCAGAAGGUGAAGCUGCUCACAUGAAAAGUUUCUCUGAAGAAAAAACUAAAGGUGCCAGUGAGGACAGAGCUGUUUCCUUAGAAAGUUUCCCGGAAGAAAAUUCUAAAGGUGCCAAUGAGGAAGCUGCUUACCUGAAAAGUUGCUCUGAAGAAAAACCUGAAGGUGCCAACGACGGCAGAGCUGUUUCCUUAUCCUUAAAAAGUUGCCCAGAAGAAAAUUCUAAAGCUACUGAAGGUGACACUGAUACACCGAAAAUGCAUGUUCAAAAUCAGGGCACUGCAGACACUAAAUCCAAUGCUGCUGGCGAUACACCUAGUGCAAAUGUCCAAAGCCAGAGUACUCAGGGUAGUGAAGAGAAUGCUGCUGGUGAUAAACUGGGAGCAAGUGUCCAGAAGCAGGGGGCUGAAGCCAAUGCAGCUGGCAUCCCAGCUGAAGUAAUCAACAUUGAUGACGACGAAGAUGGUCGGUCGCAGGAUCAAGGUGCAAACGUGGUUGUUGUUGAUAUGGAUGCUGAUGAGUCUGGGAAUACUCAUGUGGCGCAACGCAAGACAAGGCGGUCGGGCAUGUGGCAUUACAGGGAUCCUUUUGGUGACGAGCAAGGCCCGUUCUUUCUAGAUCUGUUGGAUGGUUGGAACAAACAAGGCUACUUCGACGACGACUUCAGGGUCUGGAGAGCCGGUCAGUCUAGCGACUCUGCCAUUUUGCUCAAGGAUGCUCUGCGCCUGAAGCGCUGA